UUCUGAGCACGUAUGUCUUUCUUUAGAGCCUGUGAUAUGACCUUGCAGGGCCGUUUGGCUUGCUUCACACGGGAGUCAAGAUUUCCUAGGCGAUUCCACCAAAGGAUCAAGAAACUGGAGGAACAACCCUCUCAGCUUUGGGUGUAUUCCCAAAUGAAACCUUCCACUGCUUCUCCACAGGCCGUGCCGUCUGCUUCCUACUUAGGACUUUCAAUCUUGCUGAUAUUGAGAGGGAUCAAUGGAGACUCAGUGACCCAGACAGAAGGUUCUGUUACCCUCUUUGAGGGGACACCUUUGACCCUGAAUUGCACUUACCAGAGUAGCUACACAGUUUUUGUUUUCUGGUAUGUCCAGUACCAAAACGAAGCUCCUCAAUUGUUCCUGAAAAGCUUAUCAGAAAACCAGAGGGCAGAGCAUCACGGUUUUCACGCCAGUCUUGUUAAGAGUGACGGCUCCUUCCACCUGCAGAAACGCUCUGUGAGAAUGUCAGACUCCGCUGUGUACUACUGCGUCCUAGGAGGCACAGUGAGAUCGCCUGCAGGGGGAGCCGAGCACAAACCCAGAGGGGGGCAGGAGGGCCCUGGAUGUGAGCAGCCUGGGAGGGGAGAAUGAUGAUUUCUCUCUAGUUAGAGUCUUGUGCUGGGCGCGGCCCCCAGGGAACAGAUACCUGAUGCCUCCGCCCUCAGGCACCCCGAGUUUUACUUCGAGCUAGGAAUGGAAGGAGGCAAUGUAGGUGAAAACUUAGAUUAUCAUUAUGCCUAUACAUAGAAUCCUAUAGUCAAUGGCCUUUUGUGUCUGGUUUCUUUCACACAGCAUCACCUUUUCAAGGUGUAUCCAUGUAUCAGUACUUUAGUACUUCUGUGGCUGCGCAAUAAUCCAUUGUAUGGAUACCCUAUAUUUUCUUUGUCCAUUCAUCAGUUGAUGGGCAUUUUGGUUGUUUCCACUUUUUGUGAAAACACUCAUGUACAGGAGCUCUGCUCUUUCAAACUUGAAUAUAUUUUAAGUUAGAGAUUUCUGGGUAUUUUUUCGUUUUGUUUUUUGCUUUAUUUGGGACUAACGUUUCUUUGUGGAUAUGCAAUUGAAUAAAUAUGAGAAAAUGCACCUUA
Prionailurus viverrinus (fishing cat) is the source of this 1106-nucleotide non-coding RNA. NCBI's taxonomy places the organism in Eukaryota, Metazoa, Chordata, Mammalia, Carnivora, Felidae. The record is from the annotation of a RefSeq genome assembly.